AAUAAACAUAUUUUAAAAAAGAAGAACCGCGACGGUAGCGCUGUUGAUAGCUGUUUCAUGAAGUUUAUUUAGUAUGGACCAGAGUGAGAGCUAGAAGAGCACAAGAGGGAAGAAGAAGGAGACUCGAGUCAGAACGAAGCAGAGUAGAGUCGGGACGUCGGGACCAGUCGGGACGUCGGGAACAGCAAGGGGAUCAAAAGAGAGCAAGCUAAACUGACUGUCAGUGUUGGUGUUGUGUUCUGCUGUUCUGCUGUUCUGUGUUGAGGGUGGAGAAAAUAUAUACCUACCUAACAUACUAACAUAUAUAGGUAUAUAUAAUAUAUAAUAUAUAAUAUAAAAUAUAUAAUAAUAGGAGAAUACAGCCUGUGUGCAGUUUACACAGAUAUUGUUGUAUAUUAUAUAGAGGAUGAUACAGGUAAAUAUAACAGCAAUUCGAGUAUUGGAGGCAAAGCCACAAGCAAUGUAAAGCCAGCUGCCAGUGACGGAUCACUAUGAGCUCUGAACUCUGGAGAAGCUCCGUUAGCUGUUAGCUGUUAGUCGGCAUACCAUUAUACACCUACUCGAUACUAAUAAAAUAACACUCAAGUUUAAUCAACUACUUAUCUAAUAAGUAUAAUUGUACUAAUUACAAUUAUAUCACUGAAUAGUGAUAUCUUCCAGUGUUUAUUAUCAUCAUCAUCAUCAUCAGAGAUAUUUAAUAUAAUAUAUUAUUUAUUAUAUUUGGAUACAUAAUUCUUUGAAACCUGAACCUCUUAUCGAUCAUCCCUGUGGCAGAAUGGACUCUGAACUGUGAUACUGAUUGUUGGAGUUGAAAUAAAAAAUAAUCUGGGCCACUUUGGAAUAUUUCGUUGAGGGUGAUGAAAUAUUCAAGUUAUUGGUUAAUAAAAUAGUAUUGGUGGUAUUUUGAAUUAAAAAAUAAUCAUACGGCUGGUUGGGUUAAGGGGUUCGGAUCAUUGAUUAAUUGGAUUUACGAGGACCAAGACUGAAAGAGAGGAUGAUGUGCCUGAGACCCAAUCGAAGAAAAUGCAACCACACAUCUGUCAUAUUUUGUCACUACCUAUGAUUUUAUUGUGGUUGAAGCUUUGAACACAUUGCACAUGCUGUUCGUCGGUUCCUGACGAUCCAAGGACGUAUGUGAAAUGGGUAGUUCUUGGUGGCAAUGCACUGCAUGUUUGAGAGCACAGGAAGAAGACAUUUGUGAAUUACAACUUAAUCAUUGCAAUCUUUAUGAUGUACCACCAGAUGUGUUCAUUUAUGAGAGGACACUGGAAAUGCUUUAUCUUGAUGCCAAUAGAAUAAAGGAUUUACCGAGGCCAUUAUUUCAGUGUCAUGAAUUACGCGUAUUGUCAUUAAGUGACAAUGAAAUUACAACAUUACCACCCGCCAUAGCGUCACUCAUUAAUCUUGAGAGUUUAGAUCUCAGUAAAAAUAGUAUAAAAGAAUUACCAGAUAAUAUUAAAGAAUGUAAAAAUUUACGUUCAAUAGACUUGAGUGUAAAUCCAUUCGAGCGUUUUCCCGAAGCAAUAACACACAUAACAGGCUUACGUGAAUUAUAUAUAAAUGACGCGUAUAUUGAGUACUUACCAGCAAAUUUUGGACGGCUAUCAGCUCUAAAAACUCUUGAGCUUAGAGAAAACAACAUGAUGACAUUACCAAAAUCGAUGAGCCGUCUGGUAAAUCUUCAGCGUCUGGAUAUCGGGAACAAUGACUUCACAGAAUUACCUGAGGUGGUUGGCGAUCUGACAAAUUUAACCGAGUUGUGGAUUGACGGGAAUGACAUCCGGCGUAUUCCAGCUAACAUCGAGCAAUUGUACCGGCUGAAUCAUUUCGAUUGCACGAUGAACUCGAUUGACAGUGUUCCUGCGGAAAUUCAGGGCUGGCGUGAUAUAUCGAUAAUAAAUUUUUCUUCAAAUGAGAUUCUCCAAUUACCCGACUCGCUCUGUUAUUUACGUACAAUAGUAACAUUAAAAAUAGACGAUAAUCAAUUAAAUUCACUGCCAGACGACAUUGGACAGAUGUCGAGCUUGGAGGAGUUGAUAGUUACGAAAAAUUUUCUCGAGUAUUUACCAUCUUCGAUAGGGCUGCUCCGUAAAUUGCACUGUUUAAAUGCUGAUAAUAAUUAUCUACGUUCGAUACCACCGGAGAUCGGCAGCUGCAGUGCGUUAUCACUUCUGUCGCUCAGGUCUAACAAUAUAACAAGUGUGCCGCCGGAAAUCGGACAUUUAUCCUCCCUCUGUGUCCUAAAUCUCGUCAAUAAUUGCAUACAGUUUUUACCAGUCUCGAUGCUUAAUUUAAAUAAUUUAAAGGCGCUUUGGCUGAGCGACAACCAGAGCCAGCCGUUGGUACCUCUACAACAGGAGUUUAAUCACGAGGAAGACAUGAUGAUACUCAGUUGUUUUAUGCUACCUCAGAAGCAGCGUAAGGAUCUUGAACAAAUGGAGCAAGCAGUGGGACCAAUUUCCGGUUCAAUUGUUGGAACUGGAAGAAGAAUAUGUUUUGCCACGGAAUUAGAAACAGAGGUCCCGAGACAAUUACAUCGUGCACCUACCCCGUAUCCUAAAGAGCUGCGUAAUUUAGCCCGCCAUGCGCGUAAUCUUCAUCACCAGUCUAUACAUGAUCAAAGAAUUCAUAUGGAGCGAGAGGGUAUGAUAAAAGAAGCUGUUGUUGCUAAAGCAACGCCUAUGAUUAACUCUUCUAUUAAUCAUAAUUCAUACCACGAGAACUUAUAUAUAAUGUCAAGAGAUGAAAUGAAUCCAAAACAAAACCAAGUGGACGGUCCAAGUCCAGAUUACUCCGAAGAAAGUCGUCCAGUGCUGGCAUUGGAAAAGUCAUCUCUUGAAAUACGAGAAGCCAAGUGCAUACGAAACUCUCAAACAAACGAGAGUUUAUCACGACCGCCUACGAUCGCGGAUUACGUCAGCUCAACUUGGAAACCCGAGGAGUACUCCAGGACAAAUACGGCUAAAAUCGUUGAGUCUGAAAAGUUAGCAGAGUCUUACAAGAGUCCCAACGACAGCAACGGGGUCGAGUCUUUGGGAAAUAGUAAACCGGGUAGUGAAGUUCCAUUGGCACCACCCCCUUAUCACAUCGCUGCGGCGUUCUCCAAGCAGGCUGCCUUUUUUCAGCAAUUGAAUAGACUCAAUGCUGACACCGAUGCCAGAGGUAUCGGAGGAGGUCAAAGAAGAGGAGGAGGAGGAGGCGGAGGAGAAGGAAUUGGAGAUUGUGGUAGAGGAGGAUUAAUUCCGUACCAUAAUGACAAUCAUUUAUCGAGUUCAUUUAGAAGUAAGGAGAACCGUUUGAUAAAUAUUAACAGCACCAGCAGCAGCAACAGCAGCAGAAAUAGCAAUAGCAAUAUCAGUAAUACUGAUGACGUUGUUGACGGUAACUGCGGCGGCGGCGGCGGGAGUAUUGUUGACACCUCGUCGGUUAUUAAUGUUAAUAUUAAUAAUAAUAAUAAUAAUAACAAUAGUAAUAGUAAUAAUGAUCAAGAUAACCGUAAUUUUAUAUUUCGCCAAGAUAAACCCAGUAGGAUACCAAUAAUGCGUAGUAUUAAAAGUCCCGAGUGUUCUAUUUCGUUGUCUGACAAUGAUUCUGUUUCGAUAAACGAGAGAAAUGUUUAUUCAAGUCAAGAUGACUACGACAGAUAUCAGCUCUCCUGUUCUCGGGAUAAGAGUCACAGUGACAUAAAUAACUGCACCCCGACGUCACCUAUUACGGGUAGAAAAUAUCGCAGCCCAUUGUCCUCCGCUCACAAUCAGCUAAGACAUUCAGAUCGUUCUUGGAGAUUAAAUGGCAAUAAAGAUGAAAUAUCAUCACCCUCUUCACCAGUCAUACCAAUGUCUAUGCCGAUGGUUCACCAAAAUGAUGGCUCAACAAACCAUCCUUACACACCCUCACUUUCACUCGAUAAUUCUAUUGAAUUUCACAGUGAUAAAAAUAACUCAGGUCGUAGUACUCCUGUAUCUCUUUCUGUAUCUAAUAAUAUUAAUUGUUCAUUCAGUAAUAGUGGCUCUGAUAUUUAUAAAUCAAAAUCCAAAAUUAAGUGGAUGUUUGGUCAGCAUAAGAAUGUUAAUGUGAUACCAGUAAAGGUUAGAAAAAAUCCCGGGCUUGGUUUCAGCAUCGCUGGCGGUAUAGCAGGAAAUCAAACUGGAAUAAUAGUUACGAAAGUAAAUCCAGACGGACCAGCCCAAGGGACGCUCCGUCCCGGUGAUAAAAUCUUACAAGUUGAUGGAAUUGAUUUUUCAAACUCAGAUCACGAUCGUGCGGUUGCUAUUUUAAGGUCAACUGGCGAAGUUGUUACAAUGAUGAUCAGUCGGCAUCAAUGAAUAAAAAAUAUAAUAAAAUAAAUUAAAAAAGCAAGAUAAACAAUUAUAAGCAUGUUAUCGAAUUAACUAUAAUGGUUGAUUUUUGGGUAGUCUGCAGUCAAAGACAUCCUCCCAGUAUUCUCCGAACCAGGGAUUUCGCUUGUUAGUGCUCGGAGUCAAAGAUUGCAUGUACUCAUCAAAGCUUGGAAUGGUUUUAGAUUGCAAUUCAACG
RNA transcript from Cotesia glomerata, 4536 nucleotides. It is a transcript of the gene named protein lap1-like, with no coding region annotated. The record is from RefSeq and is a predicted model, not a curated record. Lineage: Eukaryota; Metazoa; Arthropoda; Insecta; Hymenoptera; Braconidae. The transcript is spliced from 11 exons.